This 421-nucleotide ribosomal RNA is filed under the name Klebsiella pneumoniae. Its description in RNAcentral is "bacterial SSU rRNA". It matches the Rfam family "Bacterial small subunit ribosomal RNA", at positions 34 to 453 of the family's 1533-position model. The record is from RNAcentral. Lineage: Bacteria; Pseudomonadati; Pseudomonadota; Gammaproteobacteria; Enterobacterales; Enterobacteriaceae.
CGCUGGCGGCAGGCCUAACACAUGCAAGUCGAGCGGUAGCACAGAGAGCUUGCUCUCGGGUGACGAGCGGCGGACGGGUGAGUAAUGUCUGGGAAACUGCCUGAUGGAGGGGGAUAACUACUGGAAACGGUAGCUAAUACCGCAUAANGUCGCAAGACCAAAGUGGGGGACCUUCGGGCCUCAUGCCAUCAGAUGUGCCCAGAUGGGAUUAGCUAGUAGGUGGGGUAACGGCUCACCUAGGCGACGAUCCCUAGCUGGUCUGAGAGGAUGACCAGCCACACUGGAACUGAGACACGGUCCAGACUCCUACGGGAGGCAGCAGUGGGGAAUAUUGCACAAUGGGCGCAAGCCUGAUGCAGCCAUGCCGCGUGUGUGAAGAAGNCCUUCGGGUUGUAAAGCACUUUCAGCGGGGAGGAAGGCG